Molecule: transfer RNA, 74 nt
Filed under: Glycine max (soybean)
Lineage: Eukaryota; Viridiplantae; Streptophyta; Magnoliopsida; Fabales; Fabaceae
Also listed under: 1 other name
Description: tRNA-Ile
Source: RNAcentral
GGUUUAUUAGCUUAGUUGGUUAAAACCUCAUGCUAAUAAUGUGAAAGUCAUAACUUUGAUUCUUGUUUGAACCA